Molecule: ribosomal RNA, 514 nt
Filed under: Candidatus Caccoplasma merdipullorum
Lineage: Bacteria; Pseudomonadati; Bacteroidota; Bacteroidia; Bacteroidales; Bacteroidaceae
Description: bacterial SSU rRNA
Rfam family: Bacterial small subunit ribosomal RNA
Source: RNAcentral
ACAGCGAAGAGUUUGAUCCUGGCUCAGGAUGAACGCUAGCGACAGGCCUAACACAUGCAAGUCGAGGGGCAGCGAUUAUAUAGCUUGCUAUAUAAGUCGGCGACCGGCGCACGGGUGAGUAACACGUAUGCAAUCUACCUGUAACAAAGGGAUAACCCGGAGAAAUUCGGACUAAUACCUUAUGAUAUCAAAAAGUUGCAUGAAUUUUUGAUUAAAGAUUUAUCGGUUACAGAUGAGCAUGCGGAUCAUUAGCUAGUUGGUAGGGUAACGGCCUACCAAGGCGACGAUGAAUAGGGGUUCUGAGAGGAAGGUCCCCCACACUGGUACUGAGACACGGACCAGACUCCUACGGGAGGCAGCAGUGAGGAAUAUUGGUCAAUGGACGGAAGUCUGAACCAGCCAAGUCGCGUGAAGGAAGACGGCCCUUAGGGUUGUAAACUUCUUUUACUUGUGAGUAAAGUGUUUUACGAGAUAGAAUAUUGCAAUUAACAAGAGAAUAAGCAUCGGCUAAUUC